GAAAGGCCAAUCAAACCGGGAGAUAGCUGGUUCUCCCCGAAAGCUAUUUAGGUAGCGCCUCGUGAACUCAUCUUCGGGGGUAGAGCACUGUUUCGGCUAGGGGGUCAUCCCGACUUACCAACCCGAUGCAAACUACGAAUACCGAAGAAUGUUAUCACGGGAGACACACGGCGGGUGCUAACGUCCGUCGUGAAGAGGGAAACAACCCAGACCGCCAGCUAAGGUCCCAAAGUCAUGGUUAAGUGGGAAACGAUGUGGGAAGGCACAGACAGCCAGGAUGUUGGCUUAGAAGCAGCCAUCAUUUAAAGAAAGCGUAAUAGCUCACUGGUCGAGUCGGCCUGCGCGGAAGAUGUAACGGGGCUAAACCAUGCACCGAAGCUGCGGCAGCGACACUAUGUGUUGUUGGGUAGGGGAGCGUUCUGUAAGCCUGCGAAGGUGUGCUGUGAGGCAUGCUGGAGGUAUCAGAAGUGCGAAUGCUGACAUAAGUAACGAUAAAGCGGGUGAAAAGCCCGCUCGCCGGAAGACCAAGGGUUCCUGUCCAACGUUAAUCGGGGCAGGGUGAGUCGACCCCUAAGGCGAGGCCGAAAGGCGUAGUCGAUGGGAAACAGGUUAAUAUUCCUGUACUUGGUGUUACUGCGAAGGGGGGACGGAGAAGGCUAUGUUAGCCGGGCGACGGUUGUCCCGGUUUAAGCAUGUAGGCUGAUUGUCCAGGCAAAUCCGGAUAAUCAAGGCUGAGGUGUGAUGACGAGGCACUACGGUGCUGAAGUAACAAAUGCCCUGCUUCCAGGAAAAGCCUCUAAGCAUCAGGUAACAUUAAAUCGUACCCCAAACCGACACAGGUGGUCAGGUAGAGAAUACCAAGGCGCUUGAGAGAACUCGGGUGAAGGAACUAGGCAAAAUGGUGCCGUAACUUCGGGAGAAGGCACGCUGGUGUGUAGGUGAAGUCCCUGCGGAUGGAGCUGAGACCAGUCGAAGAUACCAGCUGGCUGCAACUGUUUAUUAAAAACACAGCACUGUGCAAACACGAAAGUGGACGUAUACGGUGUGACGCCUGCCCGGUGCCGGAAGGUUAAUUGAUGGGGUUAUCCGUAAGGAGAAGCUCUUGAUCGAAGCCCCGGUAAACGGCGGCCGUAACUAUAACGGUCCUAAGGUAGCGAAAUUCCUUGUCGGGUAAGUUCCGACCUGCACGAAUGGCGUAAUGAUGGCCAGGCUGUCUCCACCCGAGACUCAGUGAAAUUGAACUCGCUGUGAAGAUGCAGUGUACCCGCGGCAAGACGGAAAGACCCCGUGAACCUUUACUAUAGCUUGACACUGAACAUUGAGCCUUGAUGUGUAGGAUAGGUGGGAGGCUUUGAAGCGUGGACGCCAGUCUGCGUGGAGCCAACCUUGAAAUACCACCCUUUAAUGUUUGAUGUUCUAACGUUGGCCCCUGACCGGGGUUGCGGACAGUGUCUGGUGGGUAGUUUGACUGGGGCGGUCUCCUCCCAAAGCGUAACGGAGGAGCACGAAGGUUAGCUAAUCCUGGUCGGACAUCAGGAGGUUAGUGCAAUGGCAUAAGCUAGCUUGACUGCGAGCGUGACGGCGCGAGCAGGUGCGAAAGCAGGUCAUAGUGAUCCGGUGGUUCUGAAUGGAAGGGCCAUCGCUCAACGGAUAAAAGGUACUCCGGGGAUAACAGGCUGAUACCGCCCAAGAGUUCAUAUCGACGGCGGUGUUUGGCACCUCGAUGUCGGCUCAUCACAUCCUGGGGCUGAAGUAGGUCCCAAGGGUAUGGCUGUUCGCCAUUUAAAGUGGUACGCGAGCUGGGUUUAGAACGUCGUGAGACAGUUCGGUCCCUAUCUGCCGUGGGCGCUGGAGAAUUGAGGGGGGCUGCUCCUAGUACGAGAGGACCGGAGUGGACGCAUCACUGGUGUUCGGGUUGUCAUGCCAAUGGCACUGCCCGGUAGCUAAAUGCGGAAGAGAUAAGUGCUGAAAGCAUCUAAGCACGAAACUUGCCCCGAGAUGAGUUCUCCCUGAGACUUUAAGUCUCCUGAAGGAACGUUAAAGACGAUGACGUUGAUAGGCCGGGUGUGUAAGCGCAGCGAUGCGUUGAGCUAACCGGUACUAAUGAACCGUGAGGCUUAACCUU
Molecule: ribosomal RNA, 2125 nt
Filed under: Klebsiella pneumoniae
Lineage: Bacteria; Pseudomonadati; Pseudomonadota; Gammaproteobacteria; Enterobacterales; Enterobacteriaceae
Description: bacterial LSU rRNA
Rfam family: Bacterial large subunit ribosomal RNA
Source: RNAcentral